This 432-nucleotide ribosomal RNA is filed under the name uncultured bacterium. RNAcentral's name for it is "partial 16S ribosomal RNA". It matches the Rfam family "Bacterial small subunit ribosomal RNA", at positions 29 to 506 of the family's 1533-position model. The record is from RNAcentral.
AACGAACGCUGGCGGCAGGCCUAACACAUGCAAGUCGAGCGAGGACUUCGGUUCUAGCGGCGGACGGGUGAGUAACGCGUGGGAAUGUGCCCUUCUCUACGGAAUAGCUCUGGGAAACUGGGAGUAAUACCGUAUACGCCCUAUUGGGGAAAGAUUUAUCGGAGAAGGAUCAGCCCGCGUUGGAUUAGGUAGUUGGUGGGGUAAUGGCCUACCAAGCCGACGAUCCAUAGCUGGUUUGAGAGGAUGAUCAGCCACACUGGGACUGAGACACGGCCCAGACUCCUACGGGAGGCAGCAGUGGGGAAUCUUAGACAAUGGGGGCAACCCUGAUCUAGCCAUGCCGCGUGAGUGAUGAAGGCCUUAGGGUUGUAAAGCUCUUUCAGCUGGGAAGAUAAUGACGGUACCAGCAGAAGAAGCCCCGGCUAACUCCGU